This 523-nucleotide ribosomal RNA is filed under the name Geastrum cf. arenarium MA-Fungi 83760. RNAcentral's name for it is "eukaryotic LSU rRNA". Lineage: Eukaryota; Fungi; Basidiomycota; Agaricomycetes; Geastrales; Geastraceae. The record is from RNAcentral.
CAUUACCGAAGAUUAAGGGGUCUUGAGCUCUUUGCGUGCUCGACCCUGAUCUCAUCCACACACACCUUUGUGCACGAAUGAGGGCGGCGAAUGCCCCCUUAUCAUUAAACACCAAGUAUAUGCAUGUUUAGUAUUACUCUACGGAGUCUUAUACAACUUUCAACAACGGAUCUCUUGGCUUUCGCAUCGAUGAAGAACGCAGCGAACGUGCGAAACGUAAUGUGAAUUGCAGAAUUCAGUGAAUCAUCGAAUCUUUGAACGCAUCUUGCGCUCCUUGGUAUUCCGAGGAGCAUGCCUGUUUGAGAGUCGUGACUAUCUCAAUGCCCAGCAUUGGAUGUGGGUGACGCCGUUGAAAGACGGCCCAUCCUAAAUGGAUGAGCGAUCUGACCCCGAUCRGACACGAUGUGAUAAACMAAAAGCAUKGUUGUGAUCGAGGGAAGCACCGCUUCUAACCGUCGAGAGACAAUUUUGACUUUGACCUCAAAUCAGGUAGGAGUACCCGCUGAACUUAAGCAUAUCAAUA